Osmerus eperlanus (European smelt) is the source of this 573-nucleotide long non-coding RNA. RefSeq lists it as uncharacterized. Lineage: Eukaryota; Metazoa; Chordata; Actinopteri; Osmeriformes; Osmeridae. The transcript has 2 exons. The record is from RefSeq and is a predicted model, not a curated record.
CAUUCCAGUCUAGAUUAUAUCGAUUAAUUAGCAUUCAUGUUUUUACAUUUAUCAAGUUUAAUUAAUUAACUGUUGCAUGGGCUGGAGUAAAUUUUGAUUCCCAUAAACAUUUUAUACAGUUAAUCAAUGUAAGAAAGUUACCUCCUGGUAACUGAAAAGCCCUAGGAAAAGGGACAGUGCAGACUUGUCUGGGUCUGACCUUGCGGUAACCCGUGAGUUACUGACAAUACAUUCAACGACUGGUCUUCCGGCCAGCAACAGCCAUUAAUAUAAGUAUCGGACUGUCAUCCUCCUCGUCUUGUGCAACGAGGUCCAACUACACAUGCUCAGAUGUGAAGGAAAAGGAGACUGCAGAGGUGCCCUGCAGAAGUAUUGGGAUGCAGCCAGUCUCAUGACUUCUGAGACCCAGCCGCUGAUGUCUUCCUGUUUCCUCAGCACUCAUCUCUCUUCAAAAUGACCACAAUGUUCUUAUCUGUGAGGGCCACCGUGUACUGAAGGUCAGGGUCCAUGGCUACACUGUUGAUCGAAGCACCCACAAAUUUGUCCUCUACCGGCAACUCCAAAAUCUGAAAU